This 253-nucleotide ribosomal RNA is filed under the name uncultured bacterium. RNAcentral describes it as "partial 16S ribosomal RNA". It matches the Rfam family "Bacterial small subunit ribosomal RNA", at positions 524 to 776 of the family's 1533-position model. The record is from RNAcentral.
UACGUAGGGGGCAAGCGUUGUCCGGAAUCAUUGGGCGUAAAGAGCGUGUAGGCGGCCCGAUAAGUCCGCUGUGAAAGUCCAGGGCUCAACCCUGGAAUGCCAGUGGAAACUGUCGGGCUGGAGUCCGGAAGAGGCGAGUGGAAUUCCUGGUGUAGCAGUGAAAUGCGUAGAUAUCAGGAGGAAUACCGAUGGCGAAGGCAGGUCUCUGGGCUGACACUGACGCUCAUGCACGAAAGCGUGGGGAGCAAACAGG